RNAcentral lists this ribosomal RNA (429 nucleotides) under Chloroflexota bacterium. RNAcentral's name for it is "Chloroflexi bacterium partial 16S ribosomal RNA". It matches the Rfam family "Bacterial small subunit ribosomal RNA", at positions 355 to 776 of the family's 1533-position model. Lineage: Bacteria; Bacillati; Chloroflexota. The record is from RNAcentral.
UGGGGAAUAUUGCACAAUGGGCGCAAGCCUGAUGCAGCCAUGCCGCGUGUGUGAAGAAGGCCUUCGGGUUGUAAAGCACUUUCAGCGGGGAUGAAGGCGAUAAGGUUAAUAACCUUGUCGAUUGACGUUACCCGCAGAAGAAGCACCGGCUAACUCCGUGCCAGCAGCCGCGGUAAUACGGAGGGUGCAAGCGUUAAUCGGAAUUACUGGGCGUAAAGCGCACGCAGGCGGUCUGUCAAGUCGGAUGUGAAAUCCCCGGGCUCAACCUGGGAACUGCAUUCGAAACUGGCAGGCUAGAGUCUUGUAGAGGGGGGUAGAAUUCCAGGUGUAGCGGUGAAAUGCGUAGAGAUCUGGAGGAAUACCGGUGGCGAAGGCGGCCCCCUGGACAAAGACUGACGCUCAGGUGCGAAAGCGUGGGGAGCAAACAGG